AGAUCCAAGACAAUUGUUGCCAGGAGUGGUUUGAGGAAGCAGUCUAAAGAAUGGAGUUUGGGAACUAGGACACCUACUGGCUGGCUGUAUCAAUGGUAGAUAGAUCUUGAAAAGUUCAAGUUGUAGGAACAGAAUCAAUAACAAAUAGAAGAUGCUGAGAGGAGUAAACUCUGUAUGAUUGCAUCCCAGCACCACAGCAACAGGUAAACAGGUUUUUAAUUUUCCAUUUGAUUCAGAUGUUAAGUUUCUCUUCUAGAAAAGUGUUUCCAGUUCUAUAAUUUUGAUUAUUAUAGAUAAAAGCCAAU
RNAcentral lists this long non-coding RNA (305 nucleotides) under Homo sapiens (human). RNAcentral's name for it is "HSALNT0204804". The record is from RNAcentral. Lineage: Eukaryota; Metazoa; Chordata; Mammalia; Primates; Hominidae.